This 72-nucleotide transfer RNA is filed under the name Coprothermobacter proteolyticus DSM 5265. It matches the Rfam family "tRNA". From Rfam's summary of the family: Transfer RNA (tRNA) molecules are approximately 80 nucleotides in length. The record is from Rfam by way of RNAcentral. Lineage: Bacteria; Pseudomonadati; Coprothermobacterota; Coprothermobacteria; Coprothermobacterales; Coprothermobacteraceae.
GGGCGGUUAGCUCAGUGGUAGAGCGCUUGUUUCACACACAAGAGGUCAGAGGUUCGAAUCCUCUACCGCCCA